GUAAAUUUGUCACACUAAGAUAUUCAGGUUGUACCAUUUAGGAAAUAGUUUAACCACAAAGGACAUUAAGCAAUGCAUGCAAUAAGUUCAAUUUAAAUUCAUUGCAGAGCUGUGGCAGAGAUGGACUAGAAGCCCACCAAUCUAUUUCCUUUUUCUGAGCACAAAAGAAAACAACAUUUCCCAAUCUCUCUAGCAGUUAGGUUGAGAUGAUGUCACAAUGGAAAAUGGGCCAAAGUAGUAUAUGCCAAUACUACUCAAAGUGUGGUCUGGGGUACACUGCUCAUUCAUGAAUUGUUUCUUGAUGGUCCACAAUGACGUAAAGAUAGGGCAGCAAACCGUUGAAAAAAUACUUAAGGAGAGACAAAGAUGUUUGCUGUCAGGAUAAGAGGAAAAUUGCUACAUAUUUAAAGGAUAACGACAAGGCAAAGCAGAAGCCUGGCUGAGUGAAGAAUGGAUGAAAAGUCUCUGUGAAACAGCAUCUGGGCAUUUCCAUCUUCUCUUCUCAACCCUAACUACAGAGUUACAGCCAAGAGAAAGGAAUUCUUAAAAAGUACCAGGAUUUGCCUAAGAAGAAGCAAAGACUGCCUGGUGCAGAGAGGAGCCCUCACAGCCCAGGUCUCCAGCAGAUAUUCUGGUUCGCAUGUUCCAUAUGAAGGAAGCCAUGUAUUAAAUUGAGAUGAGCCCUUGCAUUUCAUCACAGAAAGUAAGGGGCUCCUCCGCAUUUCAACAUGAAGAGGUGUCAGCUUUCUUCUCCUCUACUGACUGGUACUACUACUGCCUUACAAUGUAAG
Molecule: long non-coding RNA, 791 nt
Filed under: Equus caballus (horse)
Lineage: Eukaryota; Metazoa; Chordata; Mammalia; Perissodactyla; Equidae
Description: lncRNA (ENSECAG00000050542.1)
Source: RNAcentral